AUCUUCAAGAACAUGAUUACUUAAAUGUAUGGAAAGGCAUGGACGAUAUUAAGAAGUUAAAUUUAGCUAGAUCGAUCGGCGUAUCUAAUUUUAACAGUUCUGAAAUAAACAGAAUUUUGGUUCAUUCCAAAAUAGUACCAACUUUCAAUGAAAUAGAGGUAAAUCCUAAUUACGUAGAUUUAGAUCUCGUAGCUUAUUUUCAAAGCUUGAAUAUAACCGUAAUGUCUUACGCACCAUUUGGCUUCUUGGUUCCACGACCAUAUUUAAAUUAUACAACGAGUAUAACUUUCGAAAAUCCAGUAUUUAAGAGAAUGGCACAAAUGUAUGGAAAAACUACAAGUCAAAUUAUUCUGCGAUACUUGAUUGACCGUGAAACAAUACCAUUCCCAAGAUCAACAAACGCGGAACGAAUUAAGGUAAAUAUUGACAUAUUAGAUUUCAAUCUCACUGAAAAUGAAAUUUACGAGAUCAAUGAAUUCAAUGAAGAUGCUAAAGUUUACGACUUUAGCGACGAAUCAUUUCUCCCUGCAUUUGUCGAUUAUUAUGGUUUGUAACAAUAAAAUGGAAAACUAUUUUUAAUUUAUUUUGCUAGGAUUUUUA
Long non-coding RNA from Vanessa tameamea, 600 nucleotides. RefSeq lists it as uncharacterized. Lineage: Eukaryota; Metazoa; Arthropoda; Insecta; Lepidoptera; Nymphalidae. The record is from RefSeq and is a predicted model, not a curated record. The transcript is spliced from 3 exons.